AGGCUGCUUUGUUUACCUAAGCAAGCCUGGGCAAUGGCGGGCGCCCCUCCCCCAGCCUCGCUGCCGCCUUGCAGUUUGAUCUCAGACUGCUGUGCUAGCAAUUAGCAAGACUCCGUGGGCGUAGGACCCUCCGAGCCAGGUGCGGGUUAUAAUCUACUGGUGCGCCGUGUUUUAAGCCCGUGGAAAAGCACAGUAUUAGGGUGGGAGUGACCCGAUUUUCCAGGUGCCGUCGGUCACCCCUUUCUUUGACUAGGAAAGGGAACUCCCUGACCCCUUGCGCUUCCCGAGUGAGGCAAUGUCUCGCCCUGCUUUGGCUCGCGCAUGGUGCGCUGCACCCACUGUCCUGCGCCCACUGUCUGGCACUCCCUAGUGAGAUGAACGCGGUACCUCAGAUGGAAAUGCAGAAAUCACCUGUCUUCUGCGUCACUCAUGCUGGGAGCUGUAGACCCGAGCUGUUCCUGUUCGUCCAUCUUGGCUGUAAUCCCAGGUUCAUCAAAAUAAGAUAUGAUCAAGGUACAAAAGAGUUAAAGAAGCUAUUUAUUUUAAUGUUUCCUUGGAGAGCACACUUGUUAUUGUAUGUAUGCAAAAGAUGAUCUUACUCUUGAGAGCCACUAGAACUCUUUGAAGAAAAAAAAAUGCUAUUUGCUAUAGGGAAAUCUUUCUGGAAAAGUAAUAAUUUCACCUUUGAGUCAGCUUCCCUGGACUCUUGCCUCAUACAUCUUCAGCCAAGAUGCCUGCCCCAGCUUUGCCUUCCACCAUGAGUAAAAGCUUCCCAAGUCCUCCCCAGAAGCAGAUGCUGGCGCUAUGCUUCUGGUACAGCCUGAAAAACCUUGAGCCAAUUAAACCUCAGUGAGCUCAAGAUGUCUUUGUUGAAACAGAACCUCCCGAAGUUACAGUAUUGGUUUUGGGGCUCCACACAGAGAACACAUCACGGAAGCUAUAAUUGAGGAAGACAAAGCUGUCAGGACGACACCAAGAGAGUUAGAAAGCCCAAGAGUGGAGCAUUCUUCACCAUGAUUCCACCUGACACUUGGCUGAAAGCAUUUUGCACUAAUUUGCUUUGUGCCCGUUCAGACAAUCUAAAAAGAAAGGAUGGGGGGACAACAAGUGUCUAUUACACAGAAUAAACAGCCUCUGGCAAAUGAAUAC
Homo sapiens (human) is the source of this 1149-nucleotide long non-coding RNA. Ensembl annotates it as long intergenic non-protein coding RNA 2253. NCBI's taxonomy places the organism in Eukaryota, Metazoa, Chordata, Mammalia, Primates, Hominidae. The record is from Ensembl.